AGACGAAUCUUAGAGGUUGCCGGU
This 24-nucleotide non-coding RNA is filed under the name Arabidopsis thaliana (thale cress). The record is from RNAcentral. Lineage: Eukaryota; Viridiplantae; Streptophyta; Magnoliopsida; Brassicales; Brassicaceae.